This is a long non-coding RNA of Phyllostomus discolor (pale spear-nosed bat), 367 nucleotides long. RefSeq lists it as uncharacterized. The record is from RefSeq and is a predicted model, not a curated record. NCBI's taxonomy places the organism in Eukaryota, Metazoa, Chordata, Mammalia, Chiroptera, Phyllostomidae. The transcript has 3 exons.
UGUCAUUAAACCAAAAUGACAUUCUGUCACCUUCGCACUUGGAAAAUCAAGUUUCUGCCACUUCAAAAUACUAAUAAUAGACUUAUUUCUCAAAAAUACAUUAAAUAGCCUCGACUGGCAUGACUCAGUGGGCUGGGAGUCGCCCUGCAAAGCUAAAGGCCCCGGGUUCAAUUCCCGCUCGGGGCACAUGCCUGGGUUGCAGGUUUGGUCCGCUGGCUGGGUGGGAUGCGUAUAAGAGGCAACUGGUUGAUGUUUCUUUCCCUUUCUUUUCCUCCCUCCCUCCCUCUCUAAAAAUAAAUAAAUUUUUAAAAAUUGAUAAAAUAAACAAUAUCUUUGUUAAAUAACCCGACUGCCAACUUACGAGUAU